UGGAGGGUUUUUGGAAAACUUAGAAUGAUUAGAAUUUCGAAAACUAGAGACUCUGGGAGACUUAGACUUUGAGAAGUAAACUCAUAACUUGACUAAUUCAAUUCGAAACGUUUUUACUAAACGAAUAAUCAUAGGAGAACUAAAGGGGAAAAUAUUUACGAAAGACGGGGAAAAGUCGGCUUUUGUUGUGGGUUUGGAGAGUUUUGGAAUUGGGGAAAGCCACUAAGGUGAGCUAUGGUGAUGAUUGAAAGUCACCGAGUACUCUAGUACUCUUGGGAGUGUUGUUCGAGUCGUGCUGUAUUGACCGGCACAGACUCUGG
This 320-nucleotide long non-coding RNA is filed under the name Lotus japonicus. RNAcentral's name for it is "long non-coding RNA (LJAP_LNC000596)". The record is from RNAcentral. Lineage: Eukaryota; Viridiplantae; Streptophyta; Magnoliopsida; Fabales; Fabaceae.